CCCUUAGAUGUCCUGGGCCGCACGCGUGCUACACUGACGCCUACAGCGAGUACUUCCCAGCCCCGAGAGGUGGCUGGUAAUCAGCAAUAGGCGUCGUGAUGGGGAUAGAUCUUUGGAAUUAUGGAUCUUGAACGAGGAAUGCCUAGUAAGCGCAGGUCAUUAGCCUGCGCUGAUUAAGUCCCUGCCCUUUGUACACACCGCCCGUCGCCCCUACCGAUUUCGAGUGGUCCGGUGAAUCUUUCGGACUGCGCGCGGCCUCGUGCCGUGUCGCGGAAAGUCAGGUAAACCUUAUCACUUAGAGGAAGGAGAAGUCGUAACA
RNAcentral lists this ribosomal RNA (319 nucleotides) under uncultured eukaryote. RNAcentral's name for it is "partial 18S ribosomal RNA". It matches the Rfam family "Eukaryotic small subunit ribosomal RNA", at positions 1470 to 1796 of the family's 1831-position model. The record is from RNAcentral.